Molecule: small nuclear RNA, 22 nt
Filed under: Arabidopsis thaliana (thale cress)
Lineage: Eukaryota; Viridiplantae; Streptophyta; Magnoliopsida; Brassicales; Brassicaceae
Description: snRNA_00669
Source: RNAcentral
GGUUCAUAUUCACAACUUUAUC